UGCAAGUCGAGCGAACAGAUAAGGAGCUUGCUCCUUUGACGUUAGCGGCGGACGGGUGAGUAACACGUGGGUAACCUACCUAUAAGACUGGGAUAACUUCGGGAAACCGGAGCUAAUACCGGAUAAUAUUUCGAACCGCAUGGUUCGAUAGUGAAAGAUGGUUUUGCUAUCACUUAUAGAUGGACCCGCGCCGUAUUAGCUAGUUGGUAAGGUAACGGCUUACCAAGGCGACGAUACGUAGCCGACCUGAGAGGGUGAUCGGCCACACUGGAACUGAGACACGGUCCAGACUCCUACGGGAGGCAGCAGUAGGGAAUCUUCCGCAAUGGGCGAAAGCCUGACGGAGCAACGCCGCGUGAGUGAUGAAGGUCUUCGGAUCGUAAAACUCUGUUAUUAGGGAAGAACAUACGUGUAAGUAACUGUGCACGUCUUGACGGUACCUAAUCAGAAAGCCACGGCUAACUACGUGCCAGCAGCCGCGGUAAUACGUAGGUGGCAAGCGUUAUCCGGAAUUAUUGGGCGUAAAGCGCGCGUAGGCGGUUUUUUAAGUCUGAUGUGAAAGCCCACGGCUCAACCGUGGAGGGUCAUUGGAAACUGGAAAACUUGAGUGCAGAAGAGGAAAGUGGAAUUCCAUGUGUAGCGGUGAAAUGCGCAGAGAUAUGGAGGAACACCAGUGGCGAAGGCGACUUUCUGGUCUGUAACUGACGCUGAUGUGCGAAAGCGUGGGGAUCAAACAGGAUUAGAUACCCUGGUAGUCCACGCCGUAAACGAUGAGUGCUAAGUGGUUAAGGGGGUUUC
Molecule: ribosomal RNA, 798 nt
Filed under: Staphylococcus sp. 210P5R
Lineage: Bacteria; Bacillati; Bacillota; Bacilli; Caryophanales; Staphylococcaceae
Description: bacterial SSU rRNA
Rfam family: Bacterial small subunit ribosomal RNA
Source: RNAcentral